AACCGGGCUAAAAGGUAAAACGUGAUAACACCCGAACCCAUUUCGACCUCGAACAGUGAAAUCGUUUUACGCCAUAUGUACUGAUUUGUGAAUUUUGGGAGACAUGGGGGACCCGGUA
RNAcentral lists this ribosomal RNA (118 nucleotides) under Closterium baillyanum. RNAcentral describes it as "rrn5". The record is from RNAcentral. Lineage: Eukaryota; Viridiplantae; Streptophyta; Zygnematophyceae; Desmidiales; Closteriaceae.